GAGGCCUUAGCUUAGUUAAAGUGUCUGAGUGCAUUCAGAAGAUGUGUUGUAGUCUUCACAGGUCUUA
RNAcentral lists this transfer RNA (67 nucleotides) under Enyalioides touzeti. RNAcentral describes it as "tRNA-Ala". The record is from RNAcentral. Lineage: Eukaryota; Metazoa; Chordata; Lepidosauria; Squamata; Hoplocercidae.